GUGGGGCGGGGACUUCCGGUCUCGGCGUUCGUGGAGGGGCCCAGGACUUCUGCGGGGUCGCCAGAGUGGUCGGGAUUGGGGAGUGUUCUUCUCCGUGCCACUCGGCAGCUCCAGGACGAAGGGUCUGUCCCGCGGCUCGGAUCCCGCUCAUGCCCGGGAGAAGUCGAGCCGGCUGGAGCCCAGGCAGGACCCCAGAGCCCGCCGCCAGCCGGGCUGCCCACGGCCUCGCCGCCAGGGGCAGUGUCCUUAGUGAGUUUUCAAAAAGCAAAACGCCCCUGAUUUUAAGAAGUGAGCCUUAUUUUGAAUUUGGCACUUCUUUUUUGUUGUUGACGUUUGUUUUGCAAAACGGUGGUGUUAACAGUCUGUUUCCUCUGAUGUUGAAUCCCAGCUGGCCUUGGAACUUGCCUUGGAUACUAGAAUGUGGUGGAAAUGGUGCUGAGACGCUCCCAAGCUGGUGUACAGGAGACCUGGCAACCACUUCACACCUGUUAGAUGGGCUGUUAUCCAAAAACAAGAAAAUAACAACUGUUGGCCAGGAUGUAGAGAGCACUGCUGGUGGGAACAGAAGAUGCUGUGGCCACUGUGGAAGACAGGAUGAAGGUUCCUCAAAUAAUUAAAGACAGGACUGACUACCAUAGGAUCUAGCAAUCCCACUUGUGGGUACACACCCAAAAGCAUCGAAAGCAAGGAAUUAAAAGAUGAAUGGAUAAGCAAGUGUGGUCUGUACACAUGAUGGAA
Microcebus murinus (gray mouse lemur) is the source of this 738-nucleotide long non-coding RNA. RefSeq lists it as uncharacterized. The record is from RefSeq and is a predicted model, not a curated record. Lineage: Eukaryota; Metazoa; Chordata; Mammalia; Primates; Cheirogaleidae.